GCCUAGCUUUGAGGCUUGCUCACUGCCGCUUGUUUGUUAUUUUUCUUUAUCAAUAGUAUGUUGAAAAUAAAGAAAGUUAAGAUCAGGUUAACUUAGUUCAGAGAGAACAGACUUGUUCUGUUUCACUGAACAUGCUUUUAUGAUUCACUGCACUGCCGCUGUGUACCUGCAUUGCCCUGCCUAUCUUUCCCUUGUGGAUUGCACACUAAUGAAGAAUGACGCUAAAACUCAGAAGAUCUCAUUGCUACACUUCUCUCAAAUGGUGACCAAGCUUGUGAGACAGCAGGAAGAGUGAUCAGCACUUUAAAUACUCUUUAUGAGUCUUGUAAAAGGGGAAGAAAGAGAUCCUCAUCAAAUGGCUACCUGGCCCCUCAUGUGGGAACAAGUGGAGGGAUUCCUGGGAGCCAGAGGACUUUCUCAACCAAAAAUAAAACAUUUUUUUUUCCUUCUUGGUUUUAAUGAUUUAAAUAUUUUAUUCAUUUUUAUUUUAAUAAAUCCAACUUUACUAUCCU
Long non-coding RNA from Acipenser ruthenus (sterlet), 512 nucleotides. RefSeq lists it as uncharacterized. The record is from RefSeq and is a predicted model, not a curated record. NCBI's taxonomy places the organism in Eukaryota, Metazoa, Chordata, Actinopteri, Acipenseriformes, Acipenseridae. The transcript is spliced from 4 exons.